GUGUUCCGACCCUAAACAGUCAGUUGAGAACGUUCAUCUUCACAUACAAAGGCGGAAUCAAUGCACAUGAAGUUAUACAACUUUUCCUCUUUAAUUUCUUCUCUAUUGAUGCUUUCUGAUUACAAUUUGACAGAGUUUCGUUACCACAAGCAUGAACCGGUUCCGCUCCAACAUACACACAUGAGGUAGUUCUACAUUAUUGUUGAUUGUUUGCCAUGGCGGUCUAAUAGACCGAUCUGAGGCAAAUGGCUUGGUCGCGUAAUGGGUAAAAAAGACAAGUUCUUAUACAGGUUUGUGGUCAAUGGUGAAAGAAGAGCAACCACAUGCAAGGCUAAUAGCCUUAUAACCAUGGAAUAGUUUCUAAUGAGGUAGUUCACUGGCUGCUUGCGAAGCCCGUUAAGCCUAUCAUGCAUCGCCCCAGAGUUACUAUCUCCUGAAAGAUUGGGAUUAAAGCUAAAACCGAUUAAAAAAUGGAGUGUCAUCGCCCAAUUCAAAUGCCAUCGACAGAUUAAAGUUGAGGCUGCUACUUGGUAUGGUUUGUCACAAGUGAAAAGCUAUUCCAUUGGCACACAGGAGAUGGAUAUGCGGGUCACUAUUAUUUCGAGUCGUCUGAAGUCCAAAUCAAAGCAACCUAGCAGAUUCUGUAGUUUACGAUUGGUACAAUACAGUUCAAACGCCAUUUGAUCAACAAUUGUUUUAACACCAUCACCAUAUCAACGUUUUGAACGCACAAUGGAGUGUGGUGCUGAUCGGAUCCCCACCGGAUCUCCACGGCAACGCGUGAGUUUUGGAGUUUGCAAUGUUAUCAUACCAAGAAUGAUUCGGUUAAGCGCAACGUGGCGCUGUGUAUAAAGGUUAUUUCUUGAAUUUGCUUAAAUAGAAGUACUAAUUCCAAAGAAGGUUCGGGAUUCUGAUCCAUUCUUUUUCCAAUUUCUCAAAAAGAAAUUCAAAGUUAGUCACCGGAUCCGUGAAGCCUAAGUUUGGAAAUGCCUAGAACAAAAAUGAUGAUCUACGUGGGCUUCAAUGCCAGUAGAUAUUAUAUGUUUGUGUUAAGCCACCCGCGAAACUCACGGGAUCUUAGGCUAGUUUUGUAAUAAAUUUUAAAAUGCUUAUCGUUUUGAGUUUUCUAUUUCUUUUAG
This 1139-nucleotide long non-coding RNA is filed under the name Helianthus annuus (common sunflower). The record is from RNAcentral. Lineage: Eukaryota; Viridiplantae; Streptophyta; Magnoliopsida; Asterales; Asteraceae.